Molecule: ribosomal RNA, 429 nt
Filed under: Actinomycetes bacterium
Lineage: Bacteria; Bacillati; Actinomycetota; Actinomycetes
Description: Actinobacteria bacterium partial 16S ribosomal RNA
Rfam family: Bacterial small subunit ribosomal RNA
Source: RNAcentral
UAGGGAAUCUUCCGCAAUGGGCGAAAGCUUGACGGAGCAACGCCGCGUGAGUGAUGAAGGUCUUCGGAUCGUAAAACUCUGUUAGUAGGGAAGAACAAAUGUGUAAGUAACUAUGCACGUCUUGACGGUACCUACUCAGAAAGCCACGGCUAACUACGUGCCAGCAGCCGCGGUAAUACGUAGGUGGCAAGCGUUAUCCGGAAUUAUUGGGCGUAAAGCGCGCGUAGGCGGUUUUUUAAGUCUGAUGUGAAAGCCCACGGCUCAACCGUGGAGGGUCAUUGGAAACUGGAAGACUUGAGUGCAGAAGAGGAAAGUGGAAUUCCAUGUGUAGCGGUGAAAUGCGCAGAGAUAUGGAGGAACACCAGUGGCGAAGGCGACUUUCUGGUCUGUAACUGACGCUGAUGUGCGAAAGCGUGGGGAUCAAACAGG